UGAGAUUUAAAGAGCCGCAGUAUCCUGACUGUGCUAAGGUAGCAUAAUCAUUAGUCUUUUAAUUGGAGACUGGUAUGAAUGGUUAAACGAGAAAUCAACUUUUUUUGUUGUAAAGCUUGAAUUUAACUUUUUAGUGAAAAGGCUAAAAUUUUUCAAAAAGACGAGAAGACCCUAUAGAGUUUUAUAAUCAAGGGAAUAUUUCUUCCUUAGAUUUUUAUGAGAGGUAUUUACUGUAGUUAUUUUGUUGGGGCGACAUUUAGAUAUAAAAAACUCUUUAUUUUUAAAACUUUUAUGAAAGGUAAAUUGAUCCUUUAAAAAAGAUCAUAAGAAAAAAUUACCUUAGGGAUAACAGCGUAAUCUUUUUUGAGAGUUCUAAUCGACAAAAAGGUUUGCGACCUCGAUGUUGGACUAAAAUUAAGGCAGGGUGCAGCAGUUCUGCUAUAAGGUCUGUUCGACCUAUAAUUUUUUACACGAUCUGAGUUCAGACCGGCGUAAGCCAGGUUG
This 504-nucleotide ribosomal RNA is filed under the name Chelonibia patula. Its description in RNAcentral is "partial 16S ribosomal RNA". It matches the Rfam family "Bacterial large subunit ribosomal RNA", at positions 1913 to 2633 of the family's 2925-position model. The record is from RNAcentral. Lineage: Eukaryota; Metazoa; Arthropoda; Thecostraca; Balanomorpha; Chelonibiidae.